RNAcentral lists this ribosomal RNA (581 nucleotides) under Acidovorax sp. Its description in RNAcentral is "bacterial SSU rRNA". It matches the Rfam family "Bacterial small subunit ribosomal RNA", at positions 74 to 652 of the family's 1533-position model. The record is from RNAcentral. Lineage: Bacteria; Pseudomonadati; Pseudomonadota; Betaproteobacteria; Burkholderiales; Comamonadaceae.
AGGUCUUCGGAUGCUGACGAGUGGCGAACGGGUGAGUAAUACAUCGGAACGUGCCCGAUCGUGGGGGAUAACGAAGCGAAAGCUUUGCUAAUACCGCAUAAGAUCUAAGGAUGAAAGCAGGGGACCGCAAGGCCUUGCGCGAACGGAGCGGCCGAUGGCAGAUUAGGUAGUUGGUGGGAUAAAAGCUUACCAAGCCGACGAUCUGUAGCUGGUCUGAGAGGACGACCAGCCACACUGGGACUGAGACACGGCCCAGACUCCUACGGGAGGCAGCAGUGGGGAAUUUUGGACAAUGGGCGAAAGCCUGAUCCAGCCAUGCCGCGUGCAGGAUGAAGGCCUUCGGGUUGUAAACUGCUUUUGUACGGAACGAAAAGACUCUGGUUAAUACCUGGGGUCCAUGACGGUACCGUAAGAAUAAGCACCGGCUAACUACGUGCCAGCAGCCGCGGUAAUACGUAGGGUGCAAGCGUUAAUCGGAAUUACUGGGCGUAAAGCGUGCGCAGGCGGUUAUAUAAGACAGAUGUGAAAUCCCCGGGCUCAACCUGGGAACUGCAUUUGUGACUGUAUAGCUAGAGUACGGU